Molecule: ribosomal RNA, 830 nt
Filed under: uncultured bacterium
Lineage: Bacteria
Description: bacterial SSU rRNA
Rfam family: Bacterial small subunit ribosomal RNA
Source: RNAcentral
GGGUGAGUAACACGUGGAUAAUCUACCUUUGAAUCCGGGAUAACUGCUCGAAAGAAUCGCUAAUACCGAAUGAAGUCAAUGUUUCCUAGGAGAUAUUGAUGAAAGACAGCCUCUUCUUGAAAGCUGUUGUUUGAAGAUGAGUCCGCGCACCAUUAGCUUGUUGGUGGGGUAAAGGCCUACCAAGGCUCUGAUGGUUAGCUGGUCUGAGAGGAUGAUCAGCCACACUGGAACUGACACACGGUCCAGACUCCUACGGGAGGCAGCAGUGAGGAAUUUUGCGCAAUGGGGGCAACCCUGACGCAGCAACGCCGCGUGAGUGAAGAAGGCCCUUGGGUCGUAAAACUCUGUCAAUGGGGAAGAAGUCAUUGCAUAUUAAUAGUAUGUAGUAUUGACGGUACCCAUGAAGGAAGCACCGGCUAACUCCGUGCCAGCAGCCGCGGUAAUACGGGGGGUGCAAGCGUUAUUCGGAAUUAUUGGGCGUAAAGGGCACGCAGGCGGUCCAACAGGUCAGAUGUGAAAGCCCGGGGCUCAACCCUGGAAGUGCAUUUGAAACCGUUGGACUUGAGUACGGUAGAGGAGAGGGGAAUUCCUGGUGUAGAGGUGAAAUUCGUAGAUAUCAGGAGGAACACCGGUGGCGAAGGCGCCUCUCUGGACCGAUACUGACGCUGAGGUGCGAAGGCGUGGGCAGCGAACAGGAUUAGAUACCCUGGUAGUCCACGCAGUAAACGUUGUAUACUAGGUGUAGCGGGUAUUGACCCCUGCUGUGCCGAAGCUAACGCAUUAAGUAUACCGCCUGGGGAGUACGGUCGCAAGACUAAAACUCAAAGAAA